This 369-nucleotide ribosomal RNA is filed under the name uncultured crenarchaeote MCG. RNAcentral describes it as "bacterial SSU rRNA". It matches the Rfam family "Archaeal small subunit ribosomal RNA", at positions 319 to 693 of the family's 1478-position model. The record is from RNAcentral. Lineage: Archaea; Thermoproteati; Thermoproteota.
UUCCUACGGGAGGCAGCAGUCGCGAAAACUCCGCAAUGCGCGAAAGCGUGACGGGGCUAUCCCGAGUGCCGUCCGCUGAGGAUGGCUUUUCCCCGGUGUAAGGAGCCGGGGGAAUAAGGAGAGGGCAAGCCUGGUGUCAGCCGCCGCGGUAAUACCAGCUCUCCGAGUGGUAGGGACGAUUAUUGGGCUUAAAGCGUCCGUAGCCGGCCCGGCAAGUCUCCCGUUAAAUCCAGCGAUUUAAUCGUUGGUCUGCGGGAGAUACUGUUGGGCUAGGAGGCGGGAGAGGCCGACGGUAUUCCCGGGGUAGGGGUGAAAUCCUAUAAUCCCGGGAGGACCACCAGUGGUCGCAACGCGGUUUCCAUAGACACG